UACGUAGGCAGCGAGCGUUGUUCGGAGUUACUGGGCGUAAAGGGUGUGUAGGCGGUUCUUUAAGUUUGGCGUGAAAUCUCCCGGCUCAACCCCGGGAUGCCGCUCGAAACUGGCGCGCUUGAGGACGGAAGAGGGGAGUGGAAUUCCUGGUGUAGCGGUGAAAUGCGUAGAGAUCAGGAGGAACACCGAUGGCGAAGGCAGCCCCCUGGGCUAACACUGACGCUCAUGCACGAAAGCGUGGGGAGCAAACAGG
Molecule: ribosomal RNA, 253 nt
Filed under: uncultured bacterium
Lineage: Bacteria
Description: partial 16S ribosomal RNA
Rfam family: Bacterial small subunit ribosomal RNA
Source: RNAcentral